Molecule: RNA transcript, 1798 nt
Organism: Drosophila willistoni
Lineage: Eukaryota; Metazoa; Arthropoda; Insecta; Diptera; Drosophilidae
Gene: bmm
Gene name: patatin-like phospholipase domain-containing protein 2
Exons: 7
Source: RefSeq, a predicted model, not a curated record
CAUACAUAUAAUAUAUUAACACAUACAAUAAAAUAAAAUAAAGAAUGAAUUUAUCAUUCGCUGGUUGCGGGUUUCUAGGCAUCUAUCAUGUGGGCGUGGCAGUGUGCUUCAAGAAAUAUGCUCCACAUCUAUUGCUCGAGAAGAUUGGAGGAGCUUCAGCUGGUUCCUUGGCCGCCUGCUGCCUGCUCUGCGAUUUGCCAUUGGGCAGCAUGACAUCCGAUUUCUUUCGUGUCGUUAAUGAAGCUCGUCGAUACUCUCUGGGUCCAUUUAGCCCCUCGUUCAAUAUACAAACAUGUCUGCUGGAGGGCCUACAGAAACACUUGCCCGAUGAUGCACACAAGCGAGUAAACGGGCGUCUGCACAUUUCGCUGACCCGAGUUUACGAUGGCAAGAACGUUAUCAUCUCCGAGUUUGAGUCACGGGAAGAGGUCUUACAGGCGUUGCUGUGUGCCUGCUUCAUACCUGGAUUCUCCGGCAUAUUGCCUCCCCGUUUCCGCGGUGUGCGCUACAUGGAUGGGGCUUUCUCCGACAACUUGCCCAUUUUGGAUGAGAACACCAUCACAGUUAGUCCCUUUUGCGGCGAAAGUGACAUUUGCCCGCGGGACCAGAGCUCACAGUUGUUUCAUCUGAACUGGGCCAAUACUAGCAUCGAAAUAUCCCGACAGAACAUCAACCGUUUCGUACGGAUUCUCUUUCCACCGCGACCUGAAUUCUUGUCGAAAUUCUGUCAGCAGGGUUUCGACGAUGCCCUUCAGUUCUUGCAUCGCAACAAUCUAAUAAAUUGCCGACGAUGCGUUGCAGUACAAUCCACAUUUGUGGUCUCUGAGACAGUGGCUCAGCCACAGGAAUUUGAUCCAGAGUGUCGAGAAUGCAAAAAGCAUAGAAAAGACGCUUUAAGUUCGAACAUGCCUCAAACGGUGCUGGAUGUCAUUCAGGAUUACAUCGAGCAGGCCAAUAAAGGUCUGGCCAAUUGGAUAUUUAAACAUCGUGGUAUCAAAUUACUAUCGCUGCCCGCUACUGUGCCCAUGGAUUUCUUCUUGGCCACAGUUUCCAAAAUCACCACUUUGACACCAAAGCUGACCAAACAGAUGCGACUGUUGGUCGAGGAGCUAAUAGUUCAAUUGAAUCAUGCCAUGCAAAUUCGUCUGCUGAAUAAGUUCACGUUAUACGAUCAACCUCACUUCGAUGCAACAGGACUGCUACAUUCGAGUCGGUUAUAUGGUCCCAGAGUAUCUAUAUUAGUUGACGAGUGCGGGGCCACAUCCCUAGAGGACGAUGUUGACAAUUUUGAGCAUGUGCUCAAAAUGACCACACAUAAUGAUGCUCUGUAUGCCUACUACUAUACAGACGACAAUACAAACAAGGUCAAAGUUACGGAAAUCUUUGAUUUUGAUGACAUGACGGAGCAUGACGAGUUGGCGACAGAUCCGCAGAUCUAUGAGGGUUCUGUAGAAGACAUUCCGAAUCCACAUCAGCAUAUGCACAACCAGGUGAUCAGCGAAUGGAAUGGCGUUGAAUCAGUUCAAAUUAUGCCCACGACUCCUGAACUUCACGACGUAGCAUUUUAGCGGCCCAAUCAAACCUAAAACACAUAUGUAUAUCUAUCUAUGUGUACACACAACACACCCACACUCACAGUCAUGACUCAAAGCACUCAAAAUUUUAGACUUCAAAAUCGCACAAAAACAUAAAGAAUAUUGAAAAACAAUAGUAUUUAAAAUAAUUGGCAGACUUUUUCAUCGACGCACAGACGCCUCCAAGCAGGUUAUCAGCUGAGUCAUCGCUUCAUUUCGUUGCC